This 481-nucleotide ribosomal RNA is filed under the name uncultured bacterium. RNAcentral's name for it is "partial 16S ribosomal RNA". It matches the Rfam family "Bacterial small subunit ribosomal RNA", at positions 30 to 507 of the family's 1533-position model. The record is from RNAcentral.
UUGAACGCUGGCGGCAUGCUUUACACAUGCAAGUCGAACGGUAACAGGCCGCAAGGUGCUGACGAGUGGCGAACGGGUGAGUAAUGCAUCGGAACGUGCCCAGUCGUGGGGGAUAACUACUCGAAAGAGUAGCUAAUACCGCAUACGAUCUAUGGAUGAAAGCGGGGGACCGUAAGGCCUCGCGCGAUUGGAGCGGCCGAUGUCAGAUUAGGUAGUUGGUGGGGUAAAGGCUCACCAAGCCAACGAUCUGUAGCUGGUCUGAGAGGACGACCAGCCACACUGGGACUGAGACACGGCCCAGACUCCUACGGGAGGCAGCAGUGGGGAAUUUUGGACAAAGGGCGCAAGCCUGAUCCAGCAAUGCCGCGUGCAGGAAGAAGGCCUUCGGGUUGUAAACUGCUUUUGUACGGAACGAAACGGCUCUGGUUAAUACCCGGGGCUAAUGACGGUACCGUAAGAAUAAGCACCGGCUAACUACGUG